AGUCGUACGCUGUGCUAUACCUCCACCGGAGCUUGCUCCACCGGAAAAAGAAGAGUGGCGAACGGGUGAGUAACACGUGGGUAACCUGCCCAUCAGAAGGGGAUAACACUUGGAAACAGGUGCUAAUACCGUAUAACAAUCGAAACCGCAUGGUUUUGAUUUGAAAGGCGCUUUCGGGUGUCGCUGAUGGAUGGACCCGCGGUGCAUUAGCUAGUUGGUGAGGUAACGGCUCACCAAGGCCACGAUGCAUAGCCGACCUGAGAGGGUGAUCGGCCACAUUGGGACUGAGACACGGCCCAAACUCCUACGGGAGGCAGCAGUAGGGAAUCUUCGGCAAUGGACGAAAGUCUGACCGAGCAACGCCGCGUGAGUGAAGAAGGUUUUCGGAUCGUAAAACUCUGUUGUUAGAGAAGAACAAGGAUGAGAGUAACUGUUCAUCCCUUGACGGUAUCUAACCAGAAAGCCACGGCUAACUACGUGCCAGCAGCCGCGGUAAUACGUAGGUGGCAAGCGUUGUCCGGAUUUAUUGGGCGUAAAGCGAGCGCAGGCGGUUUCUUAAGUCUGAUGUGAAAAGCCCCCGGCUCAACCGGGGGAGGGUCAUUGGAAACUGGGAGACUUUGAGUGCAGAAGAGGAGAGUGGAAUUCCAUGUGUAGCGGGUGAAAUG
RNAcentral lists this ribosomal RNA (665 nucleotides) under Enterococcus faecium. RNAcentral describes it as "bacterial SSU rRNA". It matches the Rfam family "Bacterial small subunit ribosomal RNA", at positions 60 to 688 of the family's 1533-position model. Lineage: Bacteria; Bacillati; Bacillota; Bacilli; Lactobacillales; Enterococcaceae. The record is from RNAcentral.